AAAGUCGUAACAAGGUUUCCGUAGGUGAACCUGCGGAAGGAUCAUUACCUAGAGUUUGUGGGCUUUGCCCACUGUCUCUUACCCAUGUCUUUUGAGUACUUACGUUUCCUCGGUGGGCUCGCCCGCCGGUUGGACAAUUUAAACCAUUUGCAGUCGCAAUCAGCGUCUGAAAAACAUAAUAGUUACAACUUUCAACAACGGAUCUCUUGGUUCUG
RNAcentral lists this unclassified non-coding RNA (215 nucleotides) under Ascomycota sp. RNAcentral's name for it is "partial contains small subunit ribosomal RNA, internal transcribed spacer 1, and 5.8S ribosomal RNA". The stretch from base 1 to 47 matches the Rfam family "Eukaryotic small subunit ribosomal RNA", at positions 1785 to 1831 of the family's 1831-position model. The record is from RNAcentral. Lineage: Eukaryota; Fungi; Ascomycota.